Molecule: ribosomal RNA, 468 nt
Filed under: uncultured bacterium
Lineage: Bacteria
Description: partial 16S ribosomal RNA
Rfam family: Bacterial small subunit ribosomal RNA
Source: RNAcentral
GACGAACGCUGGCGGCGUGCUUAACACAUGCAAGUCGAACGGAAAGGCCCUGCUUUUGUGGGGUGCUCGAGUGGCGAACGGGUGAGUAACACGUGAGUAACCUGCCCUUGACUUUGGGAUAACUUCAGGAAACUGGGGCUAAUACCGGAUAGGAGCUCCUGCUGCAUGGUGGGGGUUGGAAAGUUUCGGCGGUUGGGGAUGGACUCGCGGCUUAUCAGCUUGUUGGUGGGGUAGUGGCUUACCAAGGCUUUGACGGGUAGCCGGCCUGAGAGGGUGACCGGACACAUUGGGACGGAGAUGCGGCCCAGACUCCUACGGGAGGCAGCAGUGGGGAAUAGUGCACAAUGGGCGGAAGCCUGAUGCAGCAACGCCGCGUGCGGGAUGACGGCCUUCGGGUUGUAAACCGCUUUCGCCUGUGACGAAGCGUGAGUGACGGUAAUGGGUAAAGAAGCACCGGCUAACUACGUG